Myiozetetes cayanensis is the source of this 212-nucleotide long non-coding RNA. RefSeq lists it as uncharacterized. The record is from RefSeq and is a predicted model, not a curated record. Lineage: Eukaryota; Metazoa; Chordata; Aves; Passeriformes; Tyrannidae. The transcript has 3 exons.
AUUGCUGAAGGGUGGAGGGAGAGCCUCCCCCUGCCUGUCAGUGUGAACUUGGCUGUUCUACACAGCAGCACCCGGGGUUCCCUGCAUGGUGGCUCUUUUGUGAAAUAACGUGAAACAUCCAGUGAAGAAGUACAUUUGUGUGUGUUAUGGAUUCUACUGGAAAUAUGCACAUUUUCUGGAUGUCUUUCUCCCGGUUGAAGCAAUGAGAAAAU